GACGAACGCUGGCGGCGUGCUUAACACAUGCAAGUCGAACGGAAAGGCCCUGCUUUUGUGGGGUGCUCGAGUGGCGAACGGGUGAGUAACACGUGAGUAACCUGCCCUUGACUUUGGGAUAACUUCAGGAAACUGGGGCUAAUACCGGAUAGGAGCUCCUGCUGCAUGGUGGGGGUUGGAAAGUUUCGGCGGUUGGGGAUAGACUCGCGGCUUAUCAGCUUGUUGGUGGGGUAGUGGCUUACCAAGGCUUUGACGGGUAGCCGGCCUGAGAGGGUGACCGGGCACAUUGGGACUGAGAGACGGACCAGACUCCAACGGGAGGCAGCAGUGGGGAAUAUUGCACAAUGGGCGGAAGCCUGAUGCAGCAGCGCCGCGUGCGGGAUGACGGCCUUCGGGUUGUAAACCGAUUUCGCCUGUGACGAAGCGUGAGUGACGGUAAUGGGUAAAGAAGCACCGGCUAACUACGUG
Molecule: ribosomal RNA, 468 nt
Filed under: uncultured bacterium
Lineage: Bacteria
Description: partial 16S ribosomal RNA
Rfam family: Bacterial small subunit ribosomal RNA
Source: RNAcentral